Molecule: ribosomal RNA, 730 nt
Filed under: Miconia osaensis
Lineage: Eukaryota; Viridiplantae; Streptophyta; Magnoliopsida; Myrtales; Melastomataceae
Description: eukaryotic LSU rRNA
Source: RNAcentral
GGAUCAUUGUCGAAAUCGAACGGAAGAACGACCCGCGAAUCGUCAUUGCGUAGUAGACAGAGCCCGUGAGCACCUAACGCUCACGGGUCUCGCGUCGCGUCGGCGCGGGUGUACUCGAGACCCGCGUCGUACCGGCGGACAAACAACGUCAGCACGGAUCGUGCCAAGGAGCUGCAUGGAGAGAAUCGUCGUCCCACGCCUUCGAUAGUCCUCGACGCGGGACGGGGGACGUACGCAAUCUCUACUCAAGUCUAAACGACUCUCGGCAACGGAUAUCUCGGCUCUUGCAUCGAUGAAGAACGUAGCGAAAUGCGAUACUUGGUGUGAAUUGCAGAAUCCCGYGAACCAUCAAUUCUUUGAACGCAAGUUGCGCCCGAAGCCAUUCGGCCGAGGGCACGCCUGCCUGGGCGUCGUGAAUCCCCUUGCCCCUAGGCACCCGCACGAGCAUCGGCGGGGAUAUAUGCCCGGGCGCAGAAUAUGGUCUCCCGUGGGAUCGGCAUGCACGGGCAUGUCGAGGUGCGGUUGGCCGAAAAUCGAGCAUGGCGGUGACGGGCACCACGGCGUUCGGUGGAUCGAACGGGAUUGGCUGCGUCGUGGGCUCGGCAUGCGGCGGGCUCCGGACUUUGAAUAUCCCCGAGUGCGAUCCCAGGUCAGGCGGGGCUACCCGCUGAGUUUAAGCAUAUCAAUAAGCGGAGGAAAAGAAACUAACGAGGAUUCCCUUAGUAGCGGC